Molecule: ribosomal RNA, 251 nt
Filed under: uncultured prokaryote
Description: partial 16S rRNA
Rfam family: Bacterial small subunit ribosomal RNA
Source: RNAcentral
ACGGAGGGUGCAAGCGUUAUUCGGAAUUACUGGGCGUAAAGGGCGUGCAGGCGGGGGAACAAGUCUGAUGUGAAAGCCCAGGGCUUAGCCCCGGAACGGCAUUGGAGACUGCAUUUCUUGAGUUCUGGAGAGGAAGGGAGAAUUCCCGGUGUAGAGGUGAAAUGCGUAGAGAUCGGGAGGAACAUCCGUGGCGAAGGCGCUCUUCUAGCCUUCACCUGACGCUGAGACGCGAAAGCGUGGGGAGCAAACAG